AAGUCGUAACAAGGUUUCCGUAGGUGAACCUGCGGAAGGAUCAUUCAUAAAACACCAUGUUUUACAAACCUGUGUUGUUGAUCGUGUAGCCUCUUUGUUUAACCUAUUUUCCAAGUGACUGACUGACUACAUUGUAUAUGUGUAUAAACCAAUACAACUGUUGGCAACGGAUCACUCGGCUCUC
RNAcentral lists this unclassified non-coding RNA (184 nucleotides) under fungal sp. RNAcentral describes it as "partial internal transcribed spacer region". The stretch from base 1 to 46 matches the Rfam family "Eukaryotic small subunit ribosomal RNA", at positions 1786 to 1831 of the family's 1831-position model. Lineage: Eukaryota; Fungi. The record is from RNAcentral.